AUCGCUUCUCUUUGGCUCAGAUCAAGUAUAGUAUCUGUUCUUACCAGUUUAAUAUCGGAUAUGGCCUCUACCCAAGGAUGAUAUAUUAAAUGAAUUUUUGGAGCAGGGAGGUGGAAUAGGAGCUUGCUCCGUCUAUUCUGCUUAUCUGUUGCAGUACUUCCGGAAUGGUGCACAGAAA
This is a small nuclear RNA of Myotis lucifugus (little brown bat), 178 nucleotides long. Its record names the gene U2. It matches the Rfam family "U2 spliceosomal RNA". From Rfam's summary of the family: U2 is a small nuclear RNA (snRNA) component of the spliceosome (involved in pre-mRNA splicing). Complementary binding between U2 snRNA (in an area lying towards the 5' end but 3' to hairpin I) and the branchpoint sequence (BPS) of the intron results the bulging out of an unpaired adenosine, on the BPS, which initiates a nucleophilic attack at the intronic 5' splice site, thus starting the first of two transesterification reactions that mediate splicing. Lineage: Eukaryota; Metazoa; Chordata; Mammalia; Chiroptera; Vespertilionidae. The record is from Ensembl.